AUACGUAGGUGGCGAGCAUUAUUCGGAAUUACUGGGCGUAAAGGGUCCGCAGGGGGUUUACUAAGUCAGAUGUGAAAGUCGGCGGCUUAACUGCCGAAGUGCAUUUGAAACUGGUAAACUAGAGUAUGUUAGAGGUAAGCGGAAUUCGUGGUGUAGCGGUGGAAUGCGUAGAUAUCACGAGGAAGACCAAAGGCGAAGGCAGCUUACUGGGACAAAACUGACCCUCAGGGACGAAGGCUAAGGUAGCGAAAAGGAUUAGAAACCCUAGUAGUCC
Molecule: ribosomal RNA, 274 nt
Filed under: uncultured bacterium
Lineage: Bacteria
Description: partial 16S ribosomal RNA
Rfam family: Bacterial small subunit ribosomal RNA
Source: RNAcentral